UAUGUGAUCGUCUCUCGCAUAUCAAUAAGCGGAGGAAAAGAAACUAACAAGGAUUCCCCUAGUAACGGCGAGUGAAGCGGGAAGAGCUCAAAUUUGAAAUCUUAAAGGGUUUCCCUUUACGAAUUGUAGUUUAAAGAAGUGUUUUCUGUUGAGGUUUUGGUAAAAGUUCUUUGGAAUAGGACAUCAUAGAGGGUGAGAAUCCCGUAUUUGACCUUUACUUUCAACUUUGUGAUACACUUUCAAAGAGUCGGAUUGUUUGGGAAUGCAGUCCAAAAUGGGUGGUAAAUUUCAUCUAAAGCUAAAUAUUGGCGAGAGACCGAUAGCGAACAAGUACCGUGAGGGAAAGAUGAAAAGAACUUUGAAAAGAGAGUUAAACAGUACGUGAAAUUGUCAAAAGGGAAGCGUUUGACACCAGUGUUGUUUUUCUGAAAAUCAAUUAAAGAACUGUUUAUGCUAAGCUGUUUAGACUUUAUCAGCUAUCUGUUUAGUUUUGAGCUUUUCUUUAAUGCACUUUUCAGUUAACAAGUCAACAUCAAUUUCUUUUGACUGUAAAAAAGCUUGAGGAAGGUGGCUUGAGAUUCGUCUUAAGUGUUUAUAGCCUCUUGCCUAUGCAGUCGGAGAGAUUGAGGUCUGCAGCGUAGAUCCUUCGGGGCUAAAUGCAUUUGUGCUAAGUUAUAGCAUUUUAUAGACAACUUGUUGACUAUGAUUUGUCUUGUAGCUUACUCGCUUAUGUUAUUUUACCUACGCUUAGGAUGUUGAGCGCAUGUCUCUCUCU
This 775-nucleotide ribosomal RNA is filed under the name uncultured Neocallimastigales. RNAcentral's name for it is "partial large subunit ribosomal RNA". It matches the Rfam family "Eukaryotic large subunit ribosomal RNA", at positions 24 to 616 of the family's 3401-position model. Lineage: Eukaryota; Fungi; Neocallimastigomycota; Neocallimastigomycetes; Neocallimastigales. The record is from RNAcentral.